UGUGGCUCAGUGGGUAGAGUGCUUGCCUUGUAUGCACCAGGCCCUGGGUUUGAUCCCCAGCA
RNAcentral lists this transfer RNA (62 nucleotides) under Cricetulus griseus (Chinese hamster). It matches the Rfam family "tRNA", at positions 6 to 65 of the family's 71-position model. Rfam says of the family: Transfer RNA (tRNA) molecules are approximately 80 nucleotides in length. Their secondary structure includes four short double-helical elements and three loops (D, anti-codon, and T loops). Further hydrogen bonds mediate the characteristic L-shaped molecular structure. tRNAs have two regions of fundamental functional importance: the anti-codon, which is responsible for specific mRNA codon recognition, and the 3' end, to which the tRNAs corresponding amino acid is attached (by aminoacyl-tRNA synthetases). tRNAs cope with the degeneracy of the genetic code in two manners: having more than one tRNA (with a specific anti-codon) for a particular amino acid; and 'wobble' base-pairing, i.e. permitting non-standard base-pairing at the 3rd anti-codon position. The record is from Rfam by way of RNAcentral. Lineage: Eukaryota; Metazoa; Chordata; Mammalia; Rodentia; Cricetidae.